UUUUGACCAAAUAGGUAAUAAAAUAAAAAUAGGAUGAUAUCAUCCCUUUUUCAUCUUCUCUCCACCGAUUUUUUCAGCCAACAAAUGGGUUUUGAAAGCUUCAUAUUUUCAGCAACUUUGAGGCUUAGCAAGUAAGUGAUUUUAAUGUCUUUCUUGAAGAUUUUUACAUUUUUGUAACCCCUAAAGCAUGAGCUUUCAUAAGAGGGGACUAUUGUGCAAAAUGAUGAAGAGUCUAGGGUUUUGCCAUGAGAGUAAAUGUGUUGUUUGUUGUGUUUUUAUGGAAGAUUAUGAGUUCUAGUUGUCUAAUAAACAACUUUUGUGAAAGAAAUUGCAUGAAAACACCUUAAAAAGGGCUAGAUUGCUAAGUUGUAAAAUGAGUUGUAAAUGUGUGAAAUAGUUGAAAUUAUGAGUUGCUAUAGUUAUGAAAAUGGUUCAUCUAGACUUAAGGAGUAAAGAAAUGUGAUAAAAAUUAUUUUACGAGCUUAGGGGUAAUUUGGUAAUUUUGGUAAAAUAUAGGGGCAAAAUUGUAAAAAUAGCCCAAGUGUGUCAAUGGACAUUUGAUCAGCACAUUGUUUUAAUAAGUUGAAUGUGAUAUUUUAGAUGAUGAAAAUCGAGAUUUGGACCUAGAACGGAAAGAAAUCGAUUAAGGGAUAAUUACGUCUUUUUUUUUUUUACCUUUGUGGUAUUGAGGUAAGUUCGUAUGUAAACAAUACCAUGUUAUACAUAUAUUUAAAUGUUAUCAUUACAUGAAUUGUACAAAUAUUAAUGUGUAUAUGAUUAAUAGAAAUAUGAUAAGACAAAGCCUUAAUAGACGAGGAAAAAUCCCGUUUGAACAUUUGGAAUAGAAUAGGAUACGAGUGACAUGUCACUAGGAAUUAUGAGUCUAGAUGACUAGCUCGAGAGUGAGCAUUGAAAUGUCAUGAGAUAUGAGGUAGCUUUAGCUACAAUUGAGGCACUUAUGUGCAAAGGCUUUUCCGAGUAUCCAAUUAGUAUUCCAAGUGUUCAACGAGUAAUCCAAGGAAAGAGUUGAUGAUGGUCCCAAUGAGGUAAGUCAUUGGUGAGUAUGCACUUGAGCUAUGUUACGAGUUGUGCAAGUAUGUAUACUAAGCCUAUGAGAUGCAUAAUAUGUGUUCUUACCAUGAUAGAUGAAAUGAUGUAUUAAUUUUGUGAACAAUGAUCAUGAAUGAGUAACUCAGCCUUGACAGAUUUGAGUUACUGCAGUAGUGUAACUUUGAAAAUAUACUAAAAAUAGUGGAAAAUGAUUUAGAGGUAGAAUAAAAUAUGGGAUUAAAUCUUAAUGAGUCUAUUUUCACAUGAAAGAAACAGGGGAAGAAAAAGAAUUUGAUAUUGUGUGAUAUUUGAAUUCUUGUAAAACAGGGUCUGAAUGAAUUCGAGAUCCCCUGUUCUGAUUUUAUAAAUUCACCAUAAAUUGUAAAAAAAUUAUUAAGAGUCAUACCUUACAUGAUGGAUUCCUUAUUGAGUCUAUUUUUAUGGGAAACAAACAGCAUGGUCAUUGGAAUUCUGUACAGGGAGAAAUUCGAUUCGUAGUGUACAGGGGUCAGAGUAGUCAUACCCUAAAACAUGGAAUACUUUAACUAAUAAACUGUACUAAAUGGCUUGACCAAAAAUUUUGAAAAUUUUAUGGAAGAAAGAUAAAUGAGUCUAAUUUCAGGGAAAAUUUAUGGAACUUAAUUUGGAGUUUCGUAGCUCCAGAUAUAAAUAAUUUAGUGACUGUUGUGCAGGAAACAACUUGUCGUAAACUUGAGAAUAUGUUGUAAACAUUGAUAAAACAAGUUAAUGAGUUGCUUAUUGUUUUCAUAUGAACUUACUAAGCGAAAGCUUACCCCCUUCUUUUCCAUGUUCUCUAGGGUUUCCAGGUUUGUUCCGGUUAGAGUUCGUCGGAGAUAUUAUCACACUAUCAAGCUAACGCUAUUGGUGUAGUGAUUUCAAGUAUUUUAAGUCUAUGGCAUGUAUAGGAGUUUAAAUAUUAGAGUAUGUGAUAUGGCUUUGACCAUAUGUGUUGGCCUAUUUUGAUUAUGGGAUUAUAAAUUCAUUUUAAUUAUUUGAGAUUUCAUGGCCCUGUUUAGUAUAGAAGUGUUAGUAAAAGUUAGGUAGCACCUCGAACCCCAUCCCGACGUCGGAUGCGGGCGAGAGGUGUUACAACUCUAAUGAGCUUGGAUCUGAAUACCCAGCCCAGGCUAAAUUCAAACCCUAAUUCGGAUUAACCGUCCGGGCUAAAUCCAUUUUACACGUAUUCUUCGGGAGGGCUAUAUCAGGAUAGGAUCACCCGUCCGGGCUAGAUCCUUUUUACCGUCAGUUCUUUUUCGUUCAACCGGGAUUUCUUCCCCUUUUUAUCAAAUAUAUCAAUGUUUCAUCAAUUUUCAUACAAUGAACAUUAAAAUCAUAUUCACAUCAAUAAAAUACAUUUCAAGCAUUUAAGAA
RNAcentral lists this long non-coding RNA (2442 nucleotides) under Gossypium barbadense (sea-island cotton). Its description in RNAcentral is "long non-coding RNA (GBAR_LNC009596)". Lineage: Eukaryota; Viridiplantae; Streptophyta; Magnoliopsida; Malvales; Malvaceae. The record is from RNAcentral.